GUGCCAGCCGCCGCGGUAAAACGUAGGUCACGAGCGUUAUCCGGAUUUACUGGGCGUAAAGCGCGUGCAGGCGGUCAGGCAAGUCGGGCGUGAAAUCUCUCGGCUCAACCGGGAGGGGUCGUCCGAAACUACCAGACUAGAGGGCAGUAGAGGGAGGUGGAAUUCCCGGUGUAGUGGUGAAAUGCGUAGAGAUCGGGAGGAACACCUGUGGCGAAGGCGGCCUCCUGGGCUGCCCCUGACGCUCAGACGCGAAAGCUAGGGGAGCGAACGGGAUUAGAAACCCCGGUAGUCCUAGCCGUAAACGAUGCAGACUGGGUGUUGGCAGCUUCAAACCUGCCAGUGCCGUAGCUAACGCGUGAAGUCUGCCGCCUGGGGACUACGGCCGCAAGGUUAAA
RNAcentral lists this ribosomal RNA (395 nucleotides) under uncultured bacterium. RNAcentral describes it as "bacterial SSU rRNA". It matches the Rfam family "Bacterial small subunit ribosomal RNA", at positions 505 to 898 of the family's 1533-position model. The record is from RNAcentral.